Molecule: ribosomal RNA, 523 nt
Filed under: uncultured Glomus
Lineage: Eukaryota; Fungi; Glomeromycota; Glomeromycetes; Glomerales; Glomeraceae
Description: SSU rRNA
Rfam family: Eukaryotic small subunit ribosomal RNA
Source: RNAcentral
CAGCAGCCGCGGUAAUUCCAGCUCCAAUAGCGUAUAUUAAAGUUGUUGCAGUUAAAAAGCUCGUAGUUGAAUUUCGGGAUCAAUUGAUCGGUCGUGCCUCUGGUACGCACUGGUUUUAUUGGUUUCUCCCUUCUGACGAACCAGGAUGUCAUUAAUUUGGUGUCUUGGAGAAUCAGGACUGUUACUUUGAAAAAAUUAGAGUGUUUAAAGCAGGCUAACGCUUGAAUACAUUAGCAUGGAAUAAUGAAAUAGGACGUUUGAUCCUAUUUUGUUGGUUUCUAGGAUCGACGUAAUGAUUAAUAGGGAUAGUUGGGGGCAUUAGUAUUCAAUUGUCAGAGGUGAAAUUCUUGGAUUUAUUGAAGACUAACUACUGCGAAAGCAUUUGCCAAGGAUGUUUUCAUUAAUCAAGAACGAAAGUUAGGGGAUCGAAGACGAUCAGAUACCGUCGUAGUCUUAACCAUAAACUAUGCCGACUAGGGAUCGGAUGAUGUUAAUUUUUUAAUGACUCAUUCGGCGCCUUACG